GACAUCAACUUUAUUCCUAGCCAGAAAGUUUUUCAGUUCUUUCUGUUUAUGGGCUUUAUUAAGCCCCCUAAUGUUCCAGGUGACUAUAAUCAUGGAUCAUUAGGCAGCAAGCUCCUAGAAGGACCAGGAUCCAGCUGUUGUCCCCUCCUACCAUCAUCAAGAAAAUCAGCAACAGCCUUGCCCUUGUCAUGGUCAACCAAAAUCUCUGUAUCACCACUAGCAGUACUUUCCUGAUUGGCAGGGUCAUCUAAUACAUUCCUCUGACUUGCAAUCAUAUCAGUGUUAAUCUGCACCCUCUACAUCUUCUCCUCAUGUUGGACAGAUUGUACAGGCAGGCUAGGCAAUGUAUUUGCAGGCAUUGUUAAGCUUACUAGUGUAUCUGCAUUAGCUUUAGGCAUCCAUUCCUGCUUUGUAGUCUUUUCUGUUUUUUAGCUCUAGUCCUUUGCCUUAAUUUCCUCCCUUGCUCUUGCAUCUCCUGUACCCCAUCAUUAUGUCCAUUAUACCAACAGUCAAGAGAGUCAUGGCCAAAUUUCAAGUAGUGAUUGCAAAAUAUAGGUUUCCAAUCUUACUCAAUCACCUGUAUCUUCAGGCAAAAAGGAGUUUCAAUUUCAAUUUCCUCAGGCAGAGGAUAAGCAGCAUCUACUUCAACCAGUACUCUAGCAAAUGAGAUCUUCUCAAAAUGAG
RNAcentral lists this long non-coding RNA (684 nucleotides) under Nicotiana benthamiana. RNAcentral describes it as "long non-coding RNA (NBEN_LNC005273)". Lineage: Eukaryota; Viridiplantae; Streptophyta; Magnoliopsida; Solanales; Solanaceae. The record is from RNAcentral.